UGAGGAAAUACUGCCUGAUGCUCUACCUGGGCGUGAUUUGCGGAGGUGCUGACUGGUAGUCUCCUUUUGCAGACCUUACCUCAACUUACACCACUGGAGGAACAAAUCUCACAAAAUAUCCUAAAGGUUACCCGGAGUGACCAAGGGACAAGCUCAGCCUGCUCCAGCCUUCCUGUCUGGAGGUGGUGGAAUACAUGGCUGCUCCUUCUUUAUUAGGACUGUGCGCGAGCUACUGCCUGAGACCAUCCCACAUUUUUUAAACUGCAGGCUGUCAUCAGCGAUUAAUUUCUCACAGAUUUCUGGAUGCUAGGGAUAUUGUAGACACAAUCGGUUUCUGUGCAUCCCUCCCGUUGCAUUUUGGAUAGCUGUGUGGAAUCUGUGUACCAGUAGUUACUCAUCUUUAUUAACUUGCAGAUUAGAUUCCUGAAAGAUUUUCUGGGGAUAAGUUUCUCAGUGUAGGAACUGAAGACUGUGAAUUACAGGCUCACUGUUUCAGUAAGUAAGUACUUGGAAAGUAUUCUUGUCCACAGUACCGUUGUCACCAGAAAUCCUCGGACAGCAGUUUGGAACCCAGUGGUCUAGGGUAGUACAGUUUUUGAAAAACAAACAUGGCACUGCAGGAAGAGGAACCACAAGGUGGCAAUCUCUCUCCGUACUUCUACUGGCAAACCUCUGGCAACAAGGUCUCGGACGGUAACCGUGUAAAGCUACAGACGGUUGGUCACAUCUUGUAUCUGGACUCAGAGCAACAUUAAUUUUGAUCCUGGAUUUUCUCUUCUGCACGCUUUUUCCUUUAGGAUGAAGCUCUCAGUCAUGAAGAGGUGGCAUUAGAGGCUGCUCUUUGCUGGCUUUUCCAUCCUGUGCCCCCAAAUGGGCACCAGAUGUUUCUUGUUAGAUUUCCAACUAGCAGUGCUGCUUGCGUGCGUGCUGGCAGAGCUACUGUGUGCUUGGAGAGAAGGUUUCCUCCUGUGCUGGAGGCACUGUCUGGUUUGGAGUAUUGCUAACCUCGUGUUACAUUAACGUACAAUCCAACUGUUAUGUGAGGGUCCCACUUCAUGCACUGAGGCUCCUCUACAGCUGCAAAAUAACCUGGAUGUUAGGACUAGGCAGUGACCUCUAAGUUGAGCAUGACCUAUAGACUGGAGGGAACUGCAGGGGCUUAGUGACAAUAGCGCUGCUCCCAAAAAGAUGUGGCCACAGGUUGUAAAGAGGCAGAAGAGGAAUAGUGCUCAGUCUGAGGUGGAGCCACUGUGGUCCUGCAGUAUCAAGCACCAUCUGUUGCAAUGAGCUUCAUCUCCAUCAGGACAUAGUUGUGUUCCUGCCAGAUGUUAGCUUACAUGUGCUACAUGUAAAAGUAAACUGGUGCAAAAGCUGUGGUCUGAUGUGCUUUCAGUAGGAUUUGCCCUGCAUAAGUGAUGACGUGCUAGCCAGCCUCUUGCCGAGAGGAUGCGCUCCAGAAGUUGCAGGUGUGUGGCUGGAGCAUGUUCAACGAGUCAAGAUAGGAAAUACCUUCCAAAGCUCCAAAUAAGACAAAACAAACUGAGCUUUAGCACAUGCUCAAUUGAUUGAGUCUUUGGCAAAGUAUGACAUGAAUUUGCAAGGCUCUCAUUGAGGUCUGUUCUGGCUGUGUCCUGCCUGGUGAGUCCUUCAGCAAGCACGCCACGGCUGUCCUUGUUUUCUUCUUAUGCUGGAGCCUCCUUCUUUUACCUGUUGUCCCCUUAUGAAGUUGCUCUUCAGUUAGGAACAAUAACCUGCUUCCCACUCACCAGGACUGCUCAGGUUCUGCUUUACGCCAUGGCUGCCACCACUGAACUCCCUCCGCAGCUUGUCCACGUCUCCUGCCACUGGUGACAUCUCUGAUUGUGGCUGUCCUCUUCCAGCUCUGAGCAUGCAGGUUCAGGCAGGACCUGGAGGAGGCAGGAAGCAUGGAUGUGAAGACGAGAAGAAAUCUAACAAGCACAAGGCUGGCUUCUCCUGGAACAUGUGUGCAACAUGAUUGUCACUAAUGCUCUGUAGCCAGCUGAGAAAAGAUACUUCACCCCAAAUUCGCCUUGCCAUUCCUGCAGUGGGGUGCAAUUGCUUUAACGAGGCCACUGUAUCGGGGCAGGAAAACUGAGACAGGUAAGUGAAUAUUUCCUUUAGCGGCGUCUUCUCGGAAUCUGGAAGCUGACCCUGGCAGCUGGGAGACUUUUUUGCUCCUUUCCCUGAUGCUUUAUGUUGUUGGUGAUAUCUCAGCAGAUAAGUGACUUUGCUGCAUCCGGAGUUUGCGUUCAAAGCAGAGACAAAUUGUUGAGGAACGUUUCAGAAUAAACACGUCUCUUCCAAUGUAGUUUGUUUGUAAGGAAAAAAAAUACAUAAGGGACAUUAAA
Molecule: long non-coding RNA, 2369 nt
Organism: Apus apus (common swift)
Lineage: Eukaryota; Metazoa; Chordata; Aves; Apodiformes; Apodidae
Exons: 3
Source: RefSeq, a predicted model, not a curated record